AGGAACAUGUGGUUUAAUUCGAUGAUACGCGAGGAACCCUUAACCUGGGGCUAGAACGCAUUCGGAAUCAGGCCGAAAGGCCUGCGCCAGCGAUGGCCGCUUGCGAGGUGCUGCAUGGUUGUCGUCAGCUCGUGCCGUGAGGUGUCGGGUUAAGUCCCAUAACGAGCGCAACCCCUACUGCUAGUUGCCAGCGGGUCAUGCCGGGGACUCUAGCGGAACUGCCAGCGUAAGCUGCGAGGAAGGUGGGGAUGACGUCAAAUCAGCACGGCCCUUACGUCCAGGGCUACACACGUGUUACAAUGGCCGGUACAGAGGGCAGCCACCCCGCGAGGGGGCGCGAAUCCCGAAAGCCGGUCCCAGUUCGGAUCGGAGUCUGCAACCCGACUCCGUGAAGCUGGAUUCGCUAGUAAUCGCGCAUCAGCCACGGCGCGGUGAAUACGUUCCCGGGCCUU
This 452-nucleotide ribosomal RNA is filed under the name uncultured Rikenellaceae bacterium. RNAcentral's name for it is "bacterial SSU rRNA". It matches the Rfam family "Bacterial small subunit ribosomal RNA", at positions 933 to 1382 of the family's 1533-position model. Lineage: Bacteria; Pseudomonadati; Bacteroidota; Bacteroidia; Bacteroidales; Rikenellaceae. The record is from RNAcentral.